This is a non-coding RNA of Vibrio sinaloensis, 84 nucleotides long. The record is from Rfam. NCBI's taxonomy places the organism in Bacteria, Pseudomonadati, Pseudomonadota, Gammaproteobacteria, Vibrionales, Vibrionaceae.
GCCCUGGUGGUGGAAUUGGUAGACACAAGGGAUUUAAAAUCCCUCGGCGUUCGCGCUGUGCCGGUUCAAGUCCGGCCCGGGGCA